AGGAAGGACCAAACAAAAGGUGGAACAGCACAUGAGCUGUUCGUCUGACAUAGAGUGAACAAUGCUUGAGUGCUCCAUCCACCAGAACAAGUGUACUAGCUGGACUAAGCUGCCACCUAUGACUGACCCCACCAAAUCUAAGCCGAUCCUCUUGAAGGGGACCCUGACCACUGGGAGUGGAAUCAGAGGCACCUUCCAUACCUCCUUCGGGCCGGCGCACUGACACUUGGGGCAGGAAGCACAAAAGUCCUGCACAAAAAGAUUGGUGUGGAGUGGCGCAGGUGCCUGAUACUGUGGAG
Long non-coding RNA from Mauremys reevesii (Reeves's turtle), 299 nucleotides. RefSeq lists it as uncharacterized. Lineage: Eukaryota; Metazoa; Chordata; Testudines; Geoemydidae. The transcript has 3 exons. The record is from RefSeq and is a predicted model, not a curated record.